RNAcentral lists this transfer RNA (64 nucleotides) under Brachionus calyciflorus. RNAcentral's name for it is "tRNA-Thr". The record is from RNAcentral. Lineage: Eukaryota; Metazoa; Rotifera; Eurotatoria; Ploima; Brachionidae.
GUUAAAUUAGUUAAGCUUAAUAACAUCUAAUUUGUAAUUAGAAAUCGAUAUUUAUCAUUUAACU